CCCAUCCUAUCGUCUCAUCAAAAUCCAGGGGGUUGUCCCCUGCCUUAGCUGCCUCUAAUAGCUCAUAUAGCUUGGCAGCGGGCCCCAGGGUGUCUAAUAGUUUGUCCUGGCAAUUAUGGAGUGAGAACUCCAGUCCCUUCUUGGGUUUCCAGCCUGUUUUUGCCAGGAACUGAAUAAUCUGAGGGUCAACCUCUGGCGUCUUGCACGCCGC
Molecule: non-coding RNA, 211 nt
Organism: Pelobates cultripes (western spadefoot toad)
Lineage: Eukaryota; Metazoa; Chordata; Amphibia; Anura; Pelobatidae
Source: the annotation of a GenBank genome assembly